This 220-nucleotide ribosomal RNA is filed under the name uncultured bacterium. RNAcentral's name for it is "partial 16S ribosomal RNA". It matches the Rfam family "Bacterial small subunit ribosomal RNA", at positions 57 to 305 of the family's 1533-position model. The record is from RNAcentral.
GCAAGUCGAACGAACCCUUCGGGGUGAGUGGCGCACGGGUGCGUAACGCGUGGGAAUAUACCCUUUGGUAAGGAAUAACUGCUGGAAACGGUAGCUAAUACCUUAUAAUGACUCCGGUCCAAAGAUUUAUCGCCAAGGGAUUAGCCCGCGUCUGAUUAGCUAGUUGGUGAGGUAAUGGCUCACCAAGGCGACGAUCAGUAGCUGGUUUGAGAGAACGAUC